CCUACGGGAGGCAGCAGUGAGGAAUAUUGGUCAAUGGCCGUAAGCCUGAACCAGCCAAGUCGCGUGAAUGAAGAAGGAUCUAUGUUUUUUAAACUUCUUUUAUAAAGGAAUAAAACGAGGCACGUGUCCCUUUUUGCAUGUCCUUUAUGAAUAAAGCUCGGCUAACUCCGUGCCAGCAGCCGCGGUAAUACGGAGGAUCCGAGCGUUAUCCGGAUUUAUUGGGUUUAAAGGGAGCGUAGAUGGUUGGUUAAGUCAGUUGUGAAAGUUUGGGGCUCAACCGUAAAAUUGCAAUUGAUAAUGGCAGUCUUGAGUACAGGAGAGGUAGGCGGAAUUCGUGGUGUAGCGGUGAAAUGCUUAGAUAUCAGGAAGAACCCCGAUUGCGAAGGCAGCUUACUAAACUGUGACUGACAUUGAUGCUCGAAAGUGUGGGUAUCAAACAGGAUUAGAUACCCGAGUAGUC
Molecule: ribosomal RNA, 460 nt
Filed under: uncultured bacterium
Lineage: Bacteria
Description: partial 16S ribosomal RNA
Rfam family: Bacterial small subunit ribosomal RNA
Source: RNAcentral